GCGGGAUGCCGCCUGUUUGCGUCUCGUCGAGGGGUUGGACGCAGGCGUGGGAUCAACGGGGGGUAGUGUUGUGGACGGAGCGGUGCCUGCCUGACCGAGCUAGACGGCACAAGGCGUCGGCGAUUUUGGACCUCCCCGCUGCCCUACAUCGUCCCUUCAAAUCCCAGACAGUGGUGUGUGCUGAGUUUUGAUUACCAUGAGAUGCGAGACUGGUGAAAGAAGAUGUUGUCCCGACGGAUGGUGCCUACUUACAGGAAGGAGCCAUGGAGAUCGACAUGUAGUAAAUGACUGUUUAUCUUGGUUAAAGUAAAGGUGCGUAUGCUUUUCUAAAUUUUACAUCAGCUGGCAUAUUCCCACAUUGUUUACGAGACUAUUCUGUAGCACCCUUUUUACUCGAUCACUAUUUCAUUCUUGUUACGGUGUAUAGGGCCCAAAGUACCAGGAAAUUGUAAACAUCCGAAUGAGUGAUGGUACUAAUCGGCGUGGUCUGGUUCUAGAAGUUGAUGCUGAAAGAGGUGUUGUGCAGGUCUUUGAAGCCAGGCACUUCAUGAAUAGACAACAAAAGUUCAUCGGCGAGAUUUUGUGAACUCCUGUCUCGCUUGAUAUGCUUGGAUGUCUUUUUAAUGGUUCUGGAAAACCUGUUCAUAAUUUUGCAUGAGGCCUACUUGGACAUCUCGGGCAAGUGCUUUCUCCGUUCAGGCACACUGUUCUGAAGUUCCAGUAAUCCAAGUGAGAGAACCUACCCUGAGAUGAUUGAAACAAGGAUAUCUGCGAUUAAUGUCGUGAACUCCAUUGAUCGAGGGCAAAAUAUUCCUCUCUAUUCUGCUGUUGGGCUUCCUAAUUGUUGCUCAGAUUAGUUGUCUUGCUGGUCUUCCCAAGAAUUUGGAGAAAGGCAAGCACGCAGAGCUCACCAAGUUUGAUGAGAGGCAAAAGUGAAGAUGCUCACAAGGGGCGCGAGAGAGUGUGGCGAAAAGACAAACAAGGGUGCCAUUUCAUCCCAGUGAUGCUGAUGUCAAGACCGGGAGAUGGCACCGCAGAGAGAACAAGAAAUGGCGUUGCUCCAGAGAUAUAGUUGGAGACCAAACUAUUGCAGGCAGCACAUAAACCGUGGUCGCCAGUGUUCAAGAAACCAUGUCCAAGGUCGAAAGAUGACACCCACCAUUGCAGAAUAGAGCCAUGGUUUGUUCCUGGUGAUGUAUUGUCAUAGAUUUAGUUGGUGGGAAUAAACUAACAGCAGGAGCAGCUUACAUGUAAUAGAAAGUGGUGGUCUAACUCAUCUCACUAGAAUAGCCAUUUACUUCAAAAUUGUAAAUCAAUCUUGUAUGCUGCAACUUUAGGUUCUGCAACUUUGAAGUUCAAAAAUUAAGGUCACGCUGUGCUGUAUCAUAAGACAUAGGUUUAUCUUUGAA
Molecule: long non-coding RNA, 1409 nt
Organism: Lolium rigidum
Lineage: Eukaryota; Viridiplantae; Streptophyta; Magnoliopsida; Poales; Poaceae
Exons: 8
Source: RefSeq, a predicted model, not a curated record